Non-coding RNA from Podarcis lilfordi (Lilford's wall lizard), 75 nucleotides. The record is from the annotation of a GenBank genome assembly. Lineage: Eukaryota; Metazoa; Chordata; Lepidosauria; Squamata; Lacertidae.
UGGAGAUAGCUCAGUUGGUAGAGCAUGAGACUAUUAAUCUCAGGGUCGUGGGUUUCAGCCCCACAUUGGGCAAAA